Nicotiana tabacum (common tobacco) is the source of this 138-nucleotide non-coding RNA. Lineage: Eukaryota; Viridiplantae; Streptophyta; Magnoliopsida; Solanales; Solanaceae. The record is from RefSeq and is a predicted model, not a curated record.
UUUCUUGAAAAUAAGAAUAGAUCCGGAGAUUCCCGAAUAGGGCAACCUUUCGAACUGCUGCUGAAUCCAUGGGUAGGCAAGAGACAACCUGGCGAACUGAAACAUCUUAGUAGCCAGAGGAAAAGAAAGCAAAAGCGA